Molecule: ribosomal RNA, 465 nt
Filed under: uncultured bacterium
Lineage: Bacteria
Description: partial 16S ribosomal RNA
Rfam family: Bacterial small subunit ribosomal RNA
Source: RNAcentral
GAUGAACGCUGGCGGCGUGCUUAACACAUGCAAGUCGAACGAUGAAGCUCAGCUUGCUGGGUGGAUUAGUGGCGAACGGGUGAGUAACACGUGAGUAACCUGCCCUUAACUCUGGGAUAAGCCUGGGAAACUAGGUCUAAUACCGGAUAGGAGCGCCUACCGCAUGGUGGGUGUUGGAAAGAUUUAUCGGUUUUGGAUGGACUCGCGGCCUAUCAGCUUGUUGGUGAGGUAAUGGCUCACCAAGGCGACGACGGGUAGCCGGCCUGAGAGGGUGACCGGCCACACUGGGACUGAGACACGGCCCAGACUCCUACGGGAGGCAGCAGUGGGGAAUAUUGCACAAUGGGCGAAAGCCUGAUGCAGCGACGCCGCGUGAGGGAUGACGGCCUUCGGGUUGUAAACCUCUUUCAGUAGGGAAGAAGCGAAAGUGACGGGACCUGCAGAAGAAGCACCGGCUAACUACGU